GGCCCUAUCGUCUAACAGUUAGGACACCAUUCUUUCAAGAUGGGAACGCGGGUGCGACUCCCGCUAGGGUCA
RNAcentral lists this transfer RNA (72 nucleotides) under Candidatus Kaiserbacteria bacterium. Its description in RNAcentral is "tRNA-Glu". It matches the Rfam family "tRNA". From Rfam's summary of the family: Transfer RNA (tRNA) molecules are approximately 80 nucleotides in length. Their secondary structure includes four short double-helical elements and three loops (D, anti-codon, and T loops). Lineage: Bacteria; Candidatus Kaiseribacteriota. The record is from RNAcentral. RNAcentral also lists the same sequence under 1 other name.